RNAcentral lists this ribosomal RNA (253 nucleotides) under uncultured bacterium. Its description in RNAcentral is "partial 16S ribosomal RNA". It matches the Rfam family "Bacterial small subunit ribosomal RNA", at positions 524 to 776 of the family's 1533-position model. The record is from RNAcentral.
UACGUAGGUGGCAAGCGUUGUCCGGAUUUACUGGGCGUAAAGAGCGCGCAGGCGGUCGAAUAAGUCGAAUGUGAAAGCCCCCGGCUCAACUGGGGAGGGUCACGCGAUACUGUUCGACUCGAAGGCAGGAGAGGGAAGCAGAAUUCCCGGUGUAGUGGUGAAAUGCGUAGAUAUCGGGAGGAAUACCAGUGGCGAAGGCGGCUUCCUGGCCUGUUCUUGACGCUGAGGCGCGAAAGCUAGGGUAGCAAACGGG